GGGACGAACGCUGGCGGCGUGCUUAACACAUGCAAGUCGAGCGGUGAUCCUCCUUCGGGAGGUGAUCAGCGGCGAACGGGUGAGUAACACGUGGGCAACCUGCCCCUCACACUGGGAUAACCUCGGGAAACCGGGGCUAAUACCGGAUACGACCUCGAGCGGCAUCUCUUGAGGUGGAAAGCUCCGACGGUGAGGGAUGGGCCCGCGGCCUAUCAGCUUGUUGGUGGGGUAAUGGCCUACCAAGGCGACGACGGGU
Molecule: ribosomal RNA, 256 nt
Filed under: uncultured bacterium
Lineage: Bacteria
Description: partial small subunit ribosomal RNA
Rfam family: Bacterial small subunit ribosomal RNA
Source: RNAcentral